This 1809-nucleotide long non-coding RNA is filed under the name Monomorium pharaonis (pharaoh ant). RNAcentral's name for it is "uncharacterized LOC118645317". Lineage: Eukaryota; Metazoa; Arthropoda; Insecta; Hymenoptera; Formicidae. The record is from RNAcentral.
UGUGUGUGUGUGUGUGUGUGUGUGUGUGUGUGUGUGUGUGUGUGUGUGUGUGUGUGUGUGUGUGUGUGUGUGUGUGUGUAGUGUAAAUAUAAAUAAUUCUAUGAAAACAUAAAAAGUUCUCAUGAAAGUGUAUUUGAUGCUACAUAGAAUAUUUAUAAAUUAUUAUAUGUUAAAAAUUUACUUUAAUAUUUAAUUUUGGAUAUAUUUUAUUCUUAGAGAGGCUUAUUUUUUAUUUCGUUUGAGUGUAGGAUCUUUAUUCAAUUCAGCUGUAGCUGCCAUCAUAGCUGUUGCAUUCAUGCAUUAAUUUAUGUUCAUUUAGGCAAAAAUUUAAUUACGCGUGUUUCUUUGUUUUGAAGGUGAUUGCUGUGUGACAAGGCAACAGGAGAGCAAGGGUGAAGGCGAGAGAGGUGGCGGCAGCGUGGCAAGGGUGGGAAGACCCGCAAUUUCCGAUGAGCUUACAUCCAGGAAACCCUUCAAACGCCAAACGUCGAUACGCCGACUCUCGAACCAGCAGCAGCCAUCUUGGAGGGUUGCUACUGUGCGUUUCCUCUCUCUUGCAAACUCUUGAUGCUAUAAAGCAAUUUUGACGUCCUCGAUCUAACGUCGGAUUAAACGACAAUGGUAAUUAAUAAAAAGAUCCGUCGAAAUUUGUUAACGGAGAACUCAUUUCAAACCAUUCUAAGUCAACAUAUUAAACAAAAACUUGAAAUUACAUGAAAGACAUUUCCAAAGUUUUCGAUAACUUUAUAUAAUUAUAAUUUUAUUUUAUUAAAUUACAUUAAUUUACAUGCAAUAUUUUCUAUGCAAUAUAAUCCGGAAUAAUUUUUUCAAUAUAACAUUCAGAAAAUAUAUAAAUUUUAAUAAUUUAUAAAAAUUUCAAAUUAUACAUUUAAACGCAUUUAAAUUAAAAGAGAGAAAAUGGUAAUAAACUAUCGUUUUCUUUAAAUAACUAAGUAAAUAUUUAUGUGACAUUAUUCUUGCCGGUUUGUUAGCCAUAGAGUUCUAUUAAUCGUGUUAUAAGUAAAAAUUUGUCGAAUAUACAAACGAUACAAUUAACAAUUUAUUAAAGAGGGAAAAAAGGUUGCAGUUAUGGAAUUUAUAGGAAGAUUAUAACAUUACCAACAAAUAUAUGUAUUGUUGAAAUUAUUUUUAUUUUUAACAAAGAAAAAAUUAAUUUUUGACAGAUUUUACACAUUAGUAUCACAAAGCAUCUUGUACACCGUAUAACACAAAAAAAAUAUGUAUAAAAAAAUCUUUGGCUCUUAUGACACUGCGUAUUGUAAAAUUAUUAUAAAUGUAUUAUAAUAAUCAAUAUUAGCUAAUUAAUAUCGUAAAAGUAUUGCAAAAGAUACUGUGCAAUAACGGGGGAUUUAUGAGACUCAGAUUUGCUAGAACACAAGUCUAUAACACUGGUUAUAAAACUUUAUACGUCAUACGCAUUACGUCAAACAUUAAAUUCAAUUACUCCAUUCAAAAGCUAUAUUCAAGCCCUUCAAGGUUAAAAUUAAAAAAUUAAUACCCAAUAUUUCAAAAUUACCAAAACAAUACAUACUUAUAAAACUUUUGGCUAUUGCAAUACUGAAAUACAAGUUAUAUGACAACAAACAUUAAUAACCAUCAGUGACCAUGUUAUGACAUCUAAUCUAAAUGGCAAACACAGGUGUGUCAAAAGUGCCCUAUACUGUAUUAUACCUGCCGUCGCUUCCAUUCGAUGCUAUACUAGUAUUCUAUACGGAUUCGCGAUUCGAAUAGGGAGUGAAAAAAAGCGAAAGAAGGGUAACUGAAUAGUCGCUCCGAAACAAGUUCCAA